RNAcentral lists this unclassified non-coding RNA (294 nucleotides) under plant metagenome. Its description in RNAcentral is "partial contains small subunit ribosomal RNA, internal transcribed spacer 1, and 5.8S ribosomal RNA". The stretch from base 1 to 54 matches the Rfam family "Eukaryotic small subunit ribosomal RNA", at positions 1778 to 1831 of the family's 1831-position model. The record is from RNAcentral.
GGUAGUAAAAGUCGUAACAAGGUUUCCGUAGGUGAACCUGCGGAAGGAUCAUUAAUGAGUUGUCAUGGGGUUCGAUGCUGGCAGCCAGUUUUUGGAUGCAUGUGCUUGCCCUAACAAUCAUCUUCUUCCAAACACCUGUGCACAUUUUUGAGGGAGUCUUGAGUUGGUUGCCGCUCUUGGGUGAUUUUCUCACAUUCCCUUAAAUCAUUAUACGCUAUUAACAAUGUUGAACGUGCUCUGUGCCGCAAGGCCAUUAAUAUAAUACAACUUUUAACAACGGAUCUCUUGGCUCUC